UACCAAUAAAUUAAAGCCAAUAACCUAAUAAGCAGAGCUGCAGAAGCCAUUACAAACAGUGCACGAACGUGGUUACUAUUUAUAAGCGCAUCCCUGUCUUCGUCUGAAAAAUGAAUAAUUGGGAUUCUCUUCGGUAAAAUCCAACAAAUUUUAUGCGAAAUUUUUAGCUCCAGGAAUUUUUAAUAUUCUUGCGAUACAAUGUUCCAGUACUCGAACAAUCAAUAGCUGCGUGCCGGCCACUUUGAAUUAUACGGGAAGCGGGAUAUAGGCGCCCAUUAGAUACGUUAUGCUCUACUUGAAUUAUAAUUAUGGUGAAUGCCCUUUUGCUGACCUGAUCGCGAAUCGGCAUCAGUUUGUCAUGGCUUCUUUGCAAUACGAUAUUACUAGCUCAGCAAAGUUGUUACCUUAUUCCCCCAUGGCGAGAUAAAGGUGGCCCAACAAUCCUGGACACCAGGAUAAACUUCCAUUUGAGAAAAAAUGAAGAUUUGCGGAAGGCUGCAUACGACUGACAAUAUCCAAGCAUAGACGAUCAUCAUGGUACACCGACGGGCACGCCAGUUGUUUAAGGAAGCAAGUAUUUCAUUAAAUAGCCAAAAAUAUCUAACACUGGAUACAGAAACUGGACCCUUCGGAUAUGCGUGAUUUACUAGAAAUCAUCAUAUUGCUCUGUUUCAAAGCAGCACUGGAAUAAUUGCUGCGCUUAUCCUUUCGUAAAAUGGACAACACUGAGAUAUUUCCGAACAGCGCCACUGCAAAGAUUGCUCCCAGGAUGCCGAUUUCGACCUUUGCUAGCUCCUCAUCCCUGGUCAUAAUUCCCGGCACCAUUAUCGAAUAAUUAUAAUCCACACUAUCGUUGUCCAUGUUUAUAACUGGAAAUGCAAGGUGCAGCUGAUAUUUUCAAUCCGUAAUUGGUAAUAAAUCGCAAGGUAUGCAGUCCCACGACAACAUUAUAUUGGUAUACACAGUUUCCGGUCAACAGUUGUCCCACCAUGAGGUAGGUUCAUGUAAGUAUAAAGUACUGCGGUAACAUUGUGAUCAGCCUUGUCAAAU
Long non-coding RNA from Paramacrobiotus metropolitanus, 1050 nucleotides. RefSeq lists it as uncharacterized. The transcript is spliced from 4 exons. Lineage: Eukaryota; Metazoa; Tardigrada; Eutardigrada; Parachela; Macrobiotidae. The record is from RefSeq and is a predicted model, not a curated record.